ACGUAGGAGGCGAGCGUUAUCCGGAUUUACUGGGCGUAAAGCGCGUGCAGGCGGUGCGAUAAGUCGUGCGUGAAAGCUCCCAGGCUUAACCGGGAGAGGACGUGCGAGACUGUCGGACUAGAGGCAGGUAGAGGCAAGUGGAAUUCCGGGUGUAGUGGUGAAAUGCGUAGAGAUCCGGAGGAACCCCGGUGGCGAAGGCGACUUGCUGGGCCUGAACUGACGCUCAUGUACGAAAGCGUGGGUAGCAAACAG
Molecule: ribosomal RNA, 252 nt
Filed under: uncultured prokaryote
Description: partial 16S ribosomal RNA
Rfam family: Bacterial small subunit ribosomal RNA
Source: RNAcentral